Molecule: unclassified non-coding RNA, 942 nt
Filed under: Zea mays
Lineage: Eukaryota; Viridiplantae; Streptophyta; Magnoliopsida; Poales; Poaceae
Description: misc RNA Zm00001eb141070
Source: RNAcentral
CUUUAUUAUUGGCUUAUUGCGAACGGAAGGAAACAUGGGUCCAGAUCAGCUGCGCGGAGUGGCCCUCGCUCGCAGCAAGUACAUCUCCUUCCUGGAGGAGAAGUAAUCGACGAGCUCGUCGCGGCUCCUCAAGCACUGCUUCACGCCUUCACGGUGGCGUCGUUGAUGUAGGCGUCGGCCCACUCGCGGAGCGCUGGGAACUCCUCGCCGCCGACGAGGACCACCCCGGCGGCCUCCUCGAUGACCCCGACCCAGUGCGCCAGCGCACAGGCGGCGAUGUCGACGAAGCCGAUGGCCUCGCCGCCGAAGAACCUCUGCCCCCUGAGCUGCGCCUCGAGCAGAGCCAGGUUCUCCUUGGCCUCCUUCGCCAUAGCCUCCCUGCGCUCCUCGUCGUCCGUCCAGAACGACAUCCAGAACGGCCGCGCGAACUGCAGGACCGAUCGCAUCAUGGAGCAGGUGUUCAAACGUUGACCACAUCAUCUUCAGAAUCGAUCCUGGUGGCUGGUGGUACCUUUUGGUCGAUGAAGUGGGCCCAGAACCGCGCGUCCGCCCUCGCGUGGGGUUCCGCGGGGAGGAGAGGCGGCCCGUCGAAGGCCUCGUCGACGUACUCGAGGAUGACGAGCGACUCGGAGAUGGCCCUGUCGCCGUGGAGGAGCACGGGCACGAGUUUGUGCACGGGGUUGUGUGCCAGCAGCAGCUCGCUCUUGUUGGCCAGGUCCUCCAGGAUGAGCUCGUAGGGCACCCCUUUGAGGCGCAGGGCCACCUCGGCGCGGUGGACGAACGGGCUGGCGAAGGAGCCCACCAGCCUCACCGCCGCCGGCUCGGUGGUCGCCAUCUUCUCUGGUCUUUCUACCUCCGGCUCCCCUUCUUCUGGGUCUGGCUCGGUGAAGGAAAACUCUAUUUGUUUGGAGCACUCGUGAUGUACUACGAGCUUUGCCACUC